ACCUCCACCGGCUCCAUCUCUCUCAGCUGCUGCAACCACCACCGCCACAGCCACCGCCGCCGCUGCGACCACCACCUUACCCUCUCACCUCACCCCCACCAACUCCACACCCGCCACCUACCCAGACUCCAUCGAUUCCUCUCCUCGCUCUCGCACCACUGAUUCUUACUUGGAUGACCCGCCUCCUCUGUCCUCCAAGCUCCGCCUUAUGUGCUCCUAUGGUGGCCAUAUCGUUCCUCGCCCGCAUGACAAGUCCUUGUGCUAUGUCGGCGGCGAUACUCGUAUUGUCGUUGUUGACCGCCACACGACUCUCUCUUCUCUCUCAACACGUCUUUCAAAUACUCUGCUUAAUGGCCGCCCUUUUACUCUCAAGUAUCAGCUUCCGAGCGAAGACUUGGAUUCUCUUAUUUCUGUCACUACUGAUGAGGAUUUAGAUAAUAUGAUCGAUGAGUA
RNAcentral lists this long non-coding RNA (453 nucleotides) under Jatropha curcas. RNAcentral describes it as "long non-coding RNA (JCUR_LNC001710)". The record is from RNAcentral. Lineage: Eukaryota; Viridiplantae; Streptophyta; Magnoliopsida; Malpighiales; Euphorbiaceae.